GCUCCUGUAGCAUCAAUGGUAAUGCGCCCGUCUCAAAAACGGGGUCUCCACAGACUUUCGGGUUCGAUUCCCGGCGGGAGCG
This 82-nucleotide transfer RNA is filed under the name archaeon. Its description in RNAcentral is "tRNA-Leu". It matches the Rfam family "tRNA". From Rfam's summary of the family: Transfer RNA (tRNA) molecules are approximately 80 nucleotides in length. Their secondary structure includes four short double-helical elements and three loops (D, anti-codon, and T loops). Further hydrogen bonds mediate the characteristic L-shaped molecular structure. tRNAs have two regions of fundamental functional importance: the anti-codon, which is responsible for specific mRNA codon recognition, and the 3' end, to which the tRNAs corresponding amino acid is attached (by aminoacyl-tRNA synthetases). tRNAs cope with the degeneracy of the genetic code in two manners: having more than one tRNA (with a specific anti-codon) for a particular amino acid; and 'wobble' base-pairing, i.e. permitting non-standard base-pairing at the 3rd anti-codon position. The record is from RNAcentral.